RNAcentral lists this ribosomal RNA (118 nucleotides) under Lepisosteus oculatus (spotted gar). The record is from RNAcentral. Lineage: Eukaryota; Metazoa; Chordata; Actinopteri; Semionotiformes; Lepisosteidae.
GCAGGCAGCCAUAUCACCCUGCAAGUCACAACUAAUAACCUUCUGAAGCGCAGCAGGUGGGAGCCUGGUCAGUACCUGGAUGGGAGACCUCCUGGGAAAGCUAAGGCUGCUGCUGGAA